Molecule: ribosomal RNA, 488 nt
Filed under: uncultured Corynebacterium sp.
Lineage: Bacteria; Bacillati; Actinomycetota; Actinomycetes; Mycobacteriales; Corynebacteriaceae
Description: partial 16S ribosomal RNA
Source: RNAcentral
CACGUAGUUAGCCGGUGCUUCUUAUCUACCUACCGUCACCACCAAAGGUGGCUUCGUCGAUAGCGAAAGGAGUUUACAACCCGAAGGCCGUCAUCCCCCACGCUGCGUCGCUGCAUCAGGCUUGCGCCCAUUGUGCAAUAUUCCCCACUGCUGCCUCCCGUAGGAGUCUGGGCCGUAUCUCAGUCCCAAUGUGUCCGUACACCCUCUCAGGCCGGAUACCCCGUCGCCGCCUUGGUAGGCCAUUACCCCACCAACAAGCUGAUAGGCCGCAGGCUCAUCCCACACCGCAAAAGCUUUCCACCACAACAUCCAAGAAGUGGUCCUAUAUGGUAUUAGACCCAGUUUCCCAAGCUAUCCCAUAGUGCAGGGCAGAUCACCCACGUGUUACUCACCCGUUCGCCACUCGACGUACCUGUACAAGUACACGGGCCUUUCCGUUCGACUUGCAUGUGUUAGCACGCCGCCAGCGUUCAUCCUGACGUCCGAGG